GCCGGUGUAGCUCAGUGGUUAGAGCAUCGGCCUGCGGACCGAAGGGUCCUGGGUUUGAAUCUAGUCAAAGGCA
Myotis davidii is the source of this 73-nucleotide non-coding RNA. The record is from Rfam. Lineage: Eukaryota; Metazoa; Chordata; Mammalia; Chiroptera; Vespertilionidae.